Non-coding RNA from Aedes aegypti (yellow fever mosquito), 72 nucleotides. Lineage: Eukaryota; Metazoa; Arthropoda; Insecta; Diptera; Culicidae. The record is from Rfam.
GGCUCGGUAGGUAAGUUGGUAUAGCGCUCGUCUAGCAGACAAGAAUUCUGGGUUCGAAUCCCAGCCGAACAC